Anguilla rostrata (American eel) is the source of this 754-nucleotide long non-coding RNA. RefSeq lists it as uncharacterized. The transcript has 4 exons. The record is from RefSeq and is a predicted model, not a curated record. Lineage: Eukaryota; Metazoa; Chordata; Actinopteri; Anguilliformes; Anguillidae.
UUACUGGUCUUUAUUGUUCUUUCGUUUUGGUUUGGAUUCUAUUAACAUUUGUCCUUAACUUUGUGGAACAAUUUAAAGCACGUUUAUUUUUAUUUAUUUAUUGUUUGGCUAGUUCAGCAAUCAAAAGAAACUUCCCAAUCUGAGUCUAUGAAGAAAAUGUAUAAAUUCUUCCAUUUAGUUGGCAGUCAUUGGCCAUUAAGACAGUUGUUGAUUGAAUCCCAGCCUUUGUUUGUUUUUUUCUCUUACAAUGACCAAAAUUAGCUUCAUAUACAGCCCAUAUUCCCCAUUGGAAUGGCACAUAUUCCCAGUUUACCCAAUAUAAUAUCCUGUUUUUUGUCUUUUUUCCCAGAGUUAACCAAAUGCCCUGUAAAAGAUGAAGAGAGCAACUUUUCCGCAUCUGAAGUGUCAAAGAUGAACAACACCAACAGGACCGAGUCAUCUGGUUCCAGCAUGACCCCACUGCAGAUUGCUGCUGCUGUUGCUGUUCCUGCUGUUGUUGUUGGUGCCGGUGCCAUUGCAUACUGCGUCUGGAAGGCCCUUCGAUUGCAGGGGCACAGGGAGCCACAGCUGGGAGGGACAGACCCACAGAGACAGCCCCAGGCACAGGACAAAAACGAAAUGGAGCUGGAAGACAGGAAUGAUGCCUCAGUAGAGUGCUCCUCUCGGUCCAUGGAGACACAGGGCCAGGAUGCCAGUGAUGGGGCUGCAGGCCAAGGGGCUGAGGAUGGGGAUGGGGAGGGGGGUGAGGAUGAGG